UGCAUGUUUUCCUGGUGAAAGAUAAAAGGCAUCCUCAAAGGAAAGAAAUACAUUAUGUUUUGAAGUUGCUUCUUGAACAGAUGAGUCGAUGUGGAUAUGUCGAAGAUGCUUGUGAUCUCGAGUCAGAUGAAGAACAUGGUGAAUCCCAACUAACCUCAUUGUACCACAUCGAUAUGUUGGAAGAUGCAGCAGUCGGGUGAUUUUCCUCGAUAAAAUUAGAGGGCAAGAUGCAACUGAGGUAAAGUCUAAAUCUCCUACACAGGCAUACAGCCUUCCCUGGUUUUGCAUUUUCAGAUUUCAGAAGGCAUACAAGUUAUCUGUCGCCUGACUUAUGGGAUAAAUUGCCAUUCUAAGUUUCAUACCAACCGAAGGCUGUCCAUAAGAAUGGAAGGCGAUCCCCAUCCCUUUACCGAACUAAG
Malus domestica (apple) is the source of this 419-nucleotide non-coding RNA. The record is from RefSeq and is a predicted model, not a curated record. Lineage: Eukaryota; Viridiplantae; Streptophyta; Magnoliopsida; Rosales; Rosaceae.